CUCAAAAAGCCUGUUUUCUGAGUAAAAUCACUGAAAAUGUUCCUGGGCCCAACGAUCUGAAGAAGGCAUUCGACGAGCUGAAUGGUACAUCGCCAAUACCCUCAACCUGGAAACUCAACGCAGCUCAAGUACGAAGUUGUCGGAAUCGUCAACAAUCGAUCACGUUUGAGCGAUGAAAUGGCUGGAAUGUGUGCCAAGCUGCCGAUUUAUCACAUCAAGAAGAACGAUGUUGGUAAGAGAUUUAGGCGACUAAUACUGUACCGGCGUUUCUGCCCCUUAUCGUGCUACGAUGUUUGGCGCUGCUGGGGGGUUGGAAGAAAGUGCUACUUGCGGCUGGGUGCGAGAUUGUGUUAGGCCAUGUUGUCAGUUAGGAUGUUUUCGGUUAGGGUAUCGAUGUUGUCGGUCAGGAUUUUGAUGUUGCCACUCAGGAAAUGGAUAUUGUCAGUUACCAUGAAGAGAAAAGAAAUUAAGCCACUCAGAGAAAUAUCAUAAUACAAUUUCACGCACGGGAUGUAAUUAUUCAUGUCUCCUUUAUUAUAGUGGCGCACUGAAGCUUGAAAUUUGAGAAAAAACACUCUGCAGUAUCGCUCUGUAUUGAUGAGGAAUCCCAGCAGAGAGCCGGCAAUAUAUACCAGCUAAGGCGAAGGGGUUGAAAAUUAAAAAGUCGUCAGAGAAACUAAACUGUAUAGUAAAGCAUUGCUGUAUCGUGUGCAAAUGCACAAAGUAAAGUCGAAGAAAUUUUAUAAGUAAUUCGGGCUGAGCACAAAAGAUUUUGGAAGAAUCAGGUUUACAUGAUGUGCUACCCAAAAUGCGUAUGAAAGAGUAUUAUGUACAUAUGAUGUACGAUCCUCGCAGUAGAUAGCGCUAUUUAAGCAAUAGCUUUUGCUUUUGCUUACUGCUUUUGCUUUUAAGCAAUAGCUAUUGCUUGAAU
Stylophora pistillata is the source of this 931-nucleotide RNA transcript. RefSeq lists it as uncharacterized. NCBI's taxonomy places the organism in Eukaryota, Metazoa, Cnidaria, Anthozoa, Scleractinia, Pocilloporidae. The record is from RefSeq and is a predicted model, not a curated record.